CAUUUUUAAAUGAAAUUCUAUAUUGCGAGAAGAGAGAGGCGUUCACACUUCACACGCAAUGAAUGACCUAAGAAUCUUCUGUUUCAGUUUCCUGUCCGCGCGCCUGCCGACGCGGCCGCAGUCAUCGCCGUUGGCGCAGUGUGGAGAUUUCUCUCUCUCUCUCUGCGAUUUCCACACGAGUUAUGCCGAAAGUUCGGACCAGAAACAAAGCAGUUUAGUGCCGAAAUGGGUCCACCGGAAUUUCAUAAUAAGGAGUUUGGAAGUUAAUCUACAGCUUUGGUUGCGUCCCACCACUUUAGUGCCUGUUUGUUUCCAGAGAAAAUUCGUAAACGACAAAAAUUUAAAAAGUUUCGUGGAAAGCGGAAUUUACGAAAGCGUGCACGAGAAGUACGCCAUGCUAAUGUGCCUUGGAUGUUAUAGUUUAAAAGUUGUAAUAAUUUUAUCUUUAUUGUAAAAUAUUUCAUCAAAAUUAAGUGUUAUUCUUAUUAUAU
Molecule: non-coding RNA, 491 nt
Organism: Momordica charantia (bitter melon)
Lineage: Eukaryota; Viridiplantae; Streptophyta; Magnoliopsida; Cucurbitales; Cucurbitaceae
Source: RefSeq, a predicted model, not a curated record